This 458-nucleotide ribosomal RNA is filed under the name uncultured microorganism. RNAcentral describes it as "bacterial SSU rRNA". It matches the Rfam family "Bacterial small subunit ribosomal RNA", at positions 346 to 794 of the family's 1533-position model. The record is from RNAcentral.
GUGCACCAGUCGCGAAUAGUCUACAAUGGACGAAAGUCUGAUAGUGCGACGCCGUGUGUGCGAUUAAUUCCUUCGGGAUGUAAAGCACUUUUCUAUGAGAUAAAAGCUCUUUAGGUUAAUAGCUUAUUGAGACGGAUAUUAUUAUAGGAAUAAGCUCCGGCUAACUCCGUGCCAGCAGCCGCGGUAAUACGGAAGGAGCGAGCGUUGUCCGGAUUUACUAGGCGUAAAGGGCUAGUAGGCGACUAAUUAAGUUAUAUGUUAAAUCCCACGGCUCAACUGUGGUCCUGCAUGUAAUACUGGUUAGAUAGAGUACUGUAGAGGAAGGCAGAAUUCCUGGAGUAGCGGUGGAAUGCGCAGAUAUCAGGAAGAAUACCAAAAGCGAAGGCAGCCUUCUGGGCAGUUACUGACGCUGGAUAGCGAAGGUGUGGGUAGCGAACAGGAUUAGAUACCCCCGUAGU